UCCCAGUAAGAGCAGGUUUCGCGCCAACUUUUAAACUUCUUUUAUAUUGAAGAGAUGCCUUCCAAUCAUUACGGAAAGCUGCCUGUAAUAGGAGUUUGGGCUUUGUUUGGUUCAUGUUUUUAUUUUUUUCUUGCUUAUCAAACUAUAGGAGAAAGAGGUGCUAGGAAUAGGAAAUGGAUAGGAGAGAUGCUACAACUCACUCCUCCAGCUACAGAAAACAAAGACCUGACUGAUCAUCAAGCUAUAUUGGAAGCUACUACAUAUGACCCAAAGAAUAAAGAAUAAUGAUCAAAAGUACUCACCAUGACAAGCAACCACGACUGUCUUUGCAAUGAUUGCCACAAGAUCUUUAAACGAACCAAUAUGAUGCUUGUGUGAAAAGCUCAUAAUUAGCCACUUGCAGUGCAUCAUCAAGUCUCGUAGUCUCCUCACUACUGGCUUCAGGGAAGACAUUUUCAACCAUAGUAAAAAGAUCCUUCUGAUAGUAAUAGCGAUUGAACUUCAACUCCAGGGUUGCCAUGGAUGAAUAUGACAAGAGACCAAGAUGUGUUCCAGCAUACGAGAUGUUGAAAGCACUGGCUGUUCCCUUGACGAAGUUCUGGACGUCACGCCAUUCUGUAUCCUUGAUUUUGCUUGAUAUGGGGACUGCGAAUGCUAAGUCUGUUGGUGACUCACAUACUGAAAAACACAAGAAGUUAAGUGUUAGGAAUUAUGACAUUAGGCAAUGGUGGCGGCUUCAGUACUCUUUUAGAGAGGGUCGGAGAUAAUGAAUCAAUAUAACGUAACCUCCUCAUAGUAUGAUAGGAAUGAUAUGUACAAAAAAGGUAUGAAUAGUAUUUUCUGAGCUUGUGAUCUUAAGCUUUUCCAGACAGGAAUUUCUUAAUAGAUUUUUUUCUUUUGGGGAGCAUUUUAGUUACGUGCAUGCUUAGAACAUUCCGAUUAUCAAGCUAGCUUUAGUGGUUAAGUUUUCAUAUCACAAUCUAUAAUUAUAUACCUCAUCUUUGGCUGGAUUUUUGGCUUUUGUUUUUAACUGCGUGUAUGAAUUAGGAGCUAAGCUUACCACUUUCAUGAUAGCUUAGGAACUUAGAUAAUUUUCAUGGAUUAAGUUAUGUAAAUAAAUAAAUUACCUGGACAGUCUUGGACCUUGCAUCGUCGUUUUUCAGUGUAAGGUCCACGGCAGUUGGCUCCAGUGAGACA
Molecule: long non-coding RNA, 1197 nt
Organism: Actinia tenebrosa (Australian red waratah sea anemone)
Lineage: Eukaryota; Metazoa; Cnidaria; Anthozoa; Actiniaria; Actiniidae
Source: RefSeq, a predicted model, not a curated record